This is a long non-coding RNA of Myotis brandtii (Brandt's bat), 130 nucleotides long. RefSeq lists it as uncharacterized. Lineage: Eukaryota; Metazoa; Chordata; Mammalia; Chiroptera; Vespertilionidae. The transcript has 3 exons. The record is from RefSeq and is a predicted model, not a curated record.
CAGGUGGCCAAGAGACAUAUGAAAAAAUUCUCAACAUCACUAAUCAUCAGAGAAAUGCAAAUUACAACCACAAGGUAUCACCUCUCACCUGCCAGAAAGGCUACUCUCAUUUCUUAAAAAAAUAUAUUUU